RNAcentral lists this ribosomal RNA (540 nucleotides) under uncultured fungus. RNAcentral's name for it is "eukaryotic LSU rRNA". The stretch from base 182 to 335 matches the Rfam family "5.8S ribosomal RNA". The record is from RNAcentral. Lineage: Eukaryota; Fungi.
CGUAACAAGGUUUCCGUAGGUGAACCUGCGGAAGGAUCAUUACCUAGAGUUGUAGGCUUUGCCUGCUAUCUCUUACCCAUGUCUUUUGAGUACCUUCGUUUCCUCGGCGGGUCCGCCCGCCGAUUGGACAAUUUAAACCAUUUGCAGUUGCAAUCAGCGUCUGAACAAACUUAAUAGUUACAACUUUCAACAACGGAUCUCUUGGUUCUGGCAUCGAUGAAGAACGCAGCGAAAUGCGAUAAGUAGUGUGAAUUGCAGAAUUCAGUGAAUCAUCGAAUCUUUGAACGCACAUUGCGCCCCUUGGUAUUCCAUGGGGCAUGCCUGUUCGAGCGUCAUUUGUACCUUCAAGCUCUGCUUGGUGUUGGGUGUUUGUCUCGCCUCUGCGCGCAGACUCGCCUCAAAACAAUUAGCAGCCGGCGUAUCGAUUUCGGAGCGCAGUACAUCUCGCGCUUUGCACUCACAACGACGACGUCCAAAAGUACAUUUUUACACUCUUGACCUCGGAUCAGGUAGGGAUACCCGCUGAACUUAAGCAUAUCA